UGAUUUUACAAAGUUAAAAAAAUGAGUGGUAAUCUCCUAUAACAUCCUUCCGCUCGAUCCUGAUGGUGCAAACCAUGCAACUAUGAGACACCUUGAGAUCCAAGCCGCCGUCCUUGCGCUUCGUGACACCAGAGGUCUUCCAUGGCCAAAAGGGCACAAGAAACAGGAGGACGAAGACGUGCUUGACUGGCUUCAGGAGACGUUUGGCUUUCAGGUUAUUCGUGUCACAGUAGUCAUGCGAUCUAUGAUAAUUUUAGCCCUUUUGGGGCUUGCUUUAGUUCAUGAACUAUAUAAUGGUUCUGCAGAAAGACAACGUGUCUGAUCAGAGGGAGCACCUGAUCUUAUUGCUUGCUAAUGUGCGUACGAGGCAAUUUCCAAAGGAUGAUCAGCAGCCAAAGACGAUCAAACGGUUACAGAAGCAAUGAAGAAGCUCUUCAAGAACUACAAGAAAUGGUGCAAAUACCUUGGCCGAAAGAGUAGUCUUUGGAUGCCUACUACACAACAAGAUAUGCAACAACGCAUGCAAGUUGUUGUAUAUGGCUCUGCAUCUUCUCAUACGGGGUGAAGAUGCGAAUCUGAGAUUCAUGUCGGCAUGUCUAUGCUACAUUUAUCAUCAUGUACGGUUCGGUUUGCGUCUCAUCUUCUGCACUGCAGCUAUCCUUGCUCGUGUCUUGGCACGUUUUGAUCUGGCUCUUAUUCUUGUUUUGUGUUAUGCUCCUAUCACGUGAAGUCGUGUAUUGGCAUGUUUUGAUCCGGGUCUCAUUACCGGACAUGGCUAUUCUAUCCCUCUUUCUGAUCUACGUCGUGUUUUUUCAAAGAUGACAUUUGAAUUAUAUGGCAUGCUGGCCGGGAAUGUUAGUCCCAUGACUGGGGAAACUGUGAAGCCAGCUUACGGUGGUGAAGAAGACGCGCUCCUCAAGAAAGACUCCUAUUUACGAAGUGAUCGCAAGGGAGGUUGAAAGGAGCAGGAGAGAAAAGCCGAAGCAUUCCAACUACGAUGAUUUGAAUGAGUACUUUUGGUCGACUGAUUGCUUCCGGUUAGGUUGGCCGAUGCGAGCUGAUGCUGAUUUCUUUUGUCUGACCGUUGACCAGCUCAAUUCACAGAGAUCCGGUUACCACAGAUUAUCUCGGUUCUUAUACUUCUGCUUUGUUGGAUAGUUGCAGCAAUCUAGAUCUGAAUUUCGUGAGAUGGUGAUGAGGACAACUUCCAGUAUAUAGUUGCCGCAAGUAAUCUACAUGUAUAGAGGAAAAUAAUGUCCAAAACAUCAUGUCUGAUAAAUCUCAGAUAUCUUCAACUUGAACCGUUUGAAAUAUGAUAUCCACUGAUCAUAAGUUCGUUCACUUUUUCUAUCCAUAAAUUUAAUCGAGACUUUGAGUAUAAUUUUUUACU
Long non-coding RNA from Tarenaya hassleriana, 1390 nucleotides. RefSeq lists it as uncharacterized. The transcript is spliced from 6 exons. Lineage: Eukaryota; Viridiplantae; Streptophyta; Magnoliopsida; Brassicales; Cleomaceae. The record is from RefSeq and is a predicted model, not a curated record.